Non-coding RNA from Mycena belliarum, 94 nucleotides. The record is from the annotation of a GenBank genome assembly. NCBI's taxonomy places the organism in Eukaryota, Fungi, Basidiomycota, Agaricomycetes, Agaricales, Mycenaceae.
GCUUCGGUGGCUAAAUGGUUAACGCGUAUCUGGGUUAUUUCCUCCUAUUUCAACUCUCCGGAUAUGACUGAGGGUUCGAAUCCCUCCCGAUGCU